UACGAAGGGGACUAGCGUUGUUCGGAAUUACUGGGCGUAAAGCGCACGUAGGCGGAUUUGUUAGUCAGGGGUGAAAUCCCGGGGCUCAACCUCGGAACUGCCUUUGAUACUGCAAGUCUCGAGUCCGAUAGAGGUGGGUGGAAUUCCUAGUGUAGAGGUGAAAUUCGUAGAUAUUAGGAAGAACACCAGUGGCGAAGGCGACUCACUGGCCCGAUACCGACGCUGAGGCGCGAAAGCGUGGGGAGCAAACAGG
This 253-nucleotide ribosomal RNA is filed under the name uncultured bacterium. RNAcentral describes it as "partial 16S ribosomal RNA". It matches the Rfam family "Bacterial small subunit ribosomal RNA", at positions 524 to 776 of the family's 1533-position model. The record is from RNAcentral.